RNAcentral lists this ribosomal RNA (253 nucleotides) under uncultured bacterium. Its description in RNAcentral is "partial 16S ribosomal RNA". It matches the Rfam family "Bacterial small subunit ribosomal RNA", at positions 524 to 776 of the family's 1533-position model. The record is from RNAcentral.
UACGUAGGGGGCAAGCGUUGUCCGGAUUUAUUGGGCGUAAAGAGCGUGUAGGCGGCCAGGUAGGUCGGUUGUGAAAACUCGAGGCUCAACCUCGAGAUGUCGACCGAAACCAUCUGGCUAGAGUCCGGAAGAGGAGAAUGGAAUUCCCGGUGUAGCGGUGAAAUGCGCAGAUAUCGGGAAGAACACCCGUGGCGAAGGCGGCCCCCUGGUUGGAUACUGACGCUGAGACGCGAAAGCGUGGGGAGCAAACAGG